Leopardus geoffroyi (Geoffroy's cat) is the source of this 1326-nucleotide long non-coding RNA. RefSeq lists it as uncharacterized. Lineage: Eukaryota; Metazoa; Chordata; Mammalia; Carnivora; Felidae. The record is from RefSeq and is a predicted model, not a curated record. The transcript has 3 exons.
CUGCUUCCCUGGAAGGAAUCCCACUUAGCAUCGCCUGGAAACCCUGGGCCUGCACCCAGGCCCUUCUCCAGGCCCCAGGACACACAGGUUCCUGACACUGGACUGCGGCCAGAGGCCACCAGAGCUGGGAGGGACAAGGGGUCUCCUGGCCAAGCCCCUUGUUUUUCAGUAUGAGGUCAGCCACGGCACCCCUGGGGUCACUUUCCAUUCCCUCCGUUGUCCAGGACCAACUGCGUUCGCCCAGGCCCCCCAGAGCUGCCGGAGCAGAGUAAGAGGACUUCAGGAGUGGGUGGAGAUGGGGAGAUAAGAGGGGUGAUAAUUGCACAAAAGGUCAUGAAAUUGCAUCAGAGGAGAGUGUGAAGAGUAGGCAGGACAGAGGGUGGGGGCACAGGGUUGCCGGAGGGGGCUAGUCCCCGGGGCACGAGCCCAGCCCGCCCUGGGAAGGAGAUUUUCCAGGAAGGACAGAGAAGUUAGGGGCGGGCUGGGGUGGGGGGAGGCUUUGCAUUUGGAACAGGUUACUGAGCCCCCAAGGGGAGGCCCCCCAAGGCACCCAAUUCCAGCUCCUCGGGCCCUGUUGGUCGCCUCCUGGUUCCUCCCUUCUCUCACUGUCGGUGCUCAUACCCUCGUUAUUCAGAUUCCUUAUCUGCAAAUCUGUGCACUCACUACCUUUUGCUGUGACCUCCAGAUCAGAACUCACAAGGUUUCCUGGGCGUACCUUCCCAGCUGAGGGUGAGUGAGCAGGCACCCUGACCCUCCGUCCGGGGCGGCCCUCUCCUACCAAAGGGUCCGAACGAGAACUAUGUGGGCUGCCUGUAGGCAACACUAUGGGAAGUGGCUCUCACAGCCACAGUGACCCUCGGGGCUAUGCGGCCGCUCGAGGAUUUAAACCCGCACCCCCUCUGGCUUCUGCACCGCAUCCGUCUCCAAAGCAAGGACUCGGUCCUGUCCAUCUCUGCCCUCCAGUGUUCUGCCUGAGACCCAGCAAACAGGAGGCACUGACACGUGACGCCGUGUGGAUGAACCUGGAAAGCAUCCUGGGAAGUGAGAAGCCAGAUCCCAAAGGCCGCGCCUUGUAGGAUUCCUUUUGCGUGAAAUGUCGGGACUGGGCAAGUCCAGAGACAGAAAGCAGGCUGGUGGCUGGCAGGGGCUGGGGGGGGACAGGGAGGGUCUCCCGGGCUGGGGGCAGGUGGGCGAGGCCCUCAGGCAGGUCUGGUGCCAGCGUCCUCCGGGGCCUGGAGGGAAAAGGACUGAGCCACCGGCGGGCGUGGGGACCGCACGCUUCCCCCGGCAUCUCCUCCCACUCGGAGGGUUCCAGUACCUACCCUU